This 407-nucleotide ribosomal RNA is filed under the name uncultured fungus. Its description in RNAcentral is "eukaryotic LSU rRNA". Lineage: Eukaryota; Fungi. The record is from RNAcentral.
AGAGUUAAAUAGUACGUGAAAUUGUUGAAAGGGAAACGAUUGAAGUCAGUCGUGCUGGCGCGAAAUCAACCCUCUCAUCGGGAGAUCACAUGUUGUGGCGAGCCUCAAAACCGCCACAGCGUGUGACCUCACGAUGAGGGGGAGCACUUUCGUGUCCGCUGGUUAACAUCAAUUUCGAACGUCAUAAAAAGGCUGGAGGGAUGUGGCUCCUUCGGGAGUGUUAUAACCUUUAGCGGAAUGUGGUGUUUGGGAUUGAGGAUUGCAACGAAUACCUUUAGGGCUGUUCCACCUGGUCUCUCUUUGGCAUCUUGGCGGCGACAGCUUGCUGACGUUGUUAAGAUUUGACAUUGAACAGGCUAGUGUGAGCAAAUUCGUUAAGGAUGUUAACGUAAUGGCUUUAAACGACC